This 685-nucleotide ribosomal RNA is filed under the name uncultured fungus. Its description in RNAcentral is "eukaryotic LSU rRNA". The stretch from base 300 to 453 matches the Rfam family "5.8S ribosomal RNA". The record is from RNAcentral. Lineage: Eukaryota; Fungi.
AAGUCGUAACAAGGUUUCCGUAGGUGAACCUGCGGAAGGAUCAUUAUUGAAAUAAACCUGAUAAGUUGCUGCUGGUUCUCUAGGGAGCAUGGUGCACACUUGUCAUCUUUGUAUCUUCACCUGUGCACCUUUUGUAGGCCUGAGCAUCUCUCUGAAUGCUUUAUGUUUUUAGCAUUCAGGAUUGAGGAUUGACUUCAUGUCUUUUCUCACAUUUUCAGGUCUAUGUUUUUGUUCAUAUACUCCAAUGUAUGUUUAUAGAAUGUAAUUAAAUGGGUCUUUGUGCCUAUAUAAGCCUAUACAACUUUCAGCAACGGAUCUCUUGGCUCUCGCAUCGAUGAAGAACGCAGCGAAAUGCGAUAAGUAAUGUGAAUUGCAGAAUUCAGUGAAUCAUCGAAUCUUUGAACGCACCUUGCGCUCCUUGGUAUUCCGAGGAGCAUGCCUGUUUGAGUGUCAUUAAUAUAAUAUCAACCUUCUUUGGUUGGAUGUGGGUUUGCUGGACUCUAUCUAUAGGUCAGCUCCCCUUAAAUGCAUUAGCAGACAACAUUUUGCCAACUGUUUAUUGGUGUGAUAAUUAUCUACGCUAUUGACAUGUAGCAAAUGUUCAGCUUCUAACAGUCCAUUGACUUGGACAAAUUUAUUUUGUUAAUGUGACCUCAAAUCAGGUAGGACUACCCGCUGAACUUAA